This 253-nucleotide ribosomal RNA is filed under the name uncultured bacterium. RNAcentral's name for it is "partial 16S ribosomal RNA". It matches the Rfam family "Bacterial small subunit ribosomal RNA", at positions 524 to 776 of the family's 1533-position model. The record is from RNAcentral.
UACGUAGGGGGCAAGCGUUGUCCGGAAUCAUUGGGCGUAAAGCGCGUGUAGGCGGUCCGGUAAGUCCGCUGUGAAAGUCGGGGGCUCAACCCUCGGAUGCCGGUGGAUACUGUCGGGCUUGAGUACGGAAGAGGCGAGUGGAAUUCCUGGUGUAGCGGUGAAAUGCGCAGAUAUCAGGAGGAACACCGAUGGCGAAGGCAGCUCGCUGGAACGGUACUGACGCUGAGGCGCGAAAGCGUGGGGAGCGAACAGG